AGAUGGCCACCCCACUGAAUCUGGUCUGCUUGAGGUUUCUUCUUGUAAUGAAAAACCACCCAAGGGAGGUUUUCCUAACCACUGCUGCCAAUGUGCUUGUUCAGGGGGUGAGUAAGGUUAGAGCUUACUGUUGUGAAGCAUCUUGGAAUGACUUAUGUUGUGAUUUGGUGCUGUACAAAUAAAUUGAACUCAAAUUCAGUGUGCUC
This is a long non-coding RNA of Thalassophryne amazonica, 206 nucleotides long. RefSeq lists it as uncharacterized. The record is from RefSeq and is a predicted model, not a curated record. The transcript is spliced from 3 exons. Lineage: Eukaryota; Metazoa; Chordata; Actinopteri; Batrachoidiformes; Batrachoididae.